This 70-nucleotide transfer RNA is filed under the name Orientabia sinica. RNAcentral's name for it is "tRNA-Arg". The record is from RNAcentral. Lineage: Eukaryota; Metazoa; Arthropoda; Insecta; Hymenoptera; Cimbicidae.
AAGUUAGAAAUAAAUCUUUAUAUUCAGUUUCGACCUGAAAUUUUAGUUAUUUUUAAAUAACUCUAACUUA